This 253-nucleotide ribosomal RNA is filed under the name uncultured bacterium. RNAcentral describes it as "partial 16S ribosomal RNA". It matches the Rfam family "Bacterial small subunit ribosomal RNA", at positions 524 to 776 of the family's 1533-position model. The record is from RNAcentral.
UACGAACCGUCCAAACGUUAUUCGGAAUCACUGGGCUUAAAGGGUGCGUAGGCGGCCCGAUAAGUUGGGUGUGAAAGCCCUCGGCUCAACCGAGGAAUUGCGCCCAAAACUGUCGGGCUCGAGGGAGACAGAGGUGAGCGGAACUUAGGGUGGAGCGGUGAAAUGCGUUGAUAUCCUAAGGAACACCAGUAGCGUAAGCGGCUCACUGGGUCUCUUCUGACGCUGAGGCACGAAAGCUAGGGGAGCGAAGAGG